CAAUAGCGUAUAUUAAAGUUGCUGCAGUUAAAAAGCUCGUAGUUGGAUUUCUGGUGGGAGCGAUCGGUCUGGCGCUUAGCGCGAGUACUUGCAUCGUCUCCGGCCAUCCUUGGGGAGAGUCUGUCUGGCAUUAAGUUGUCGGGCAGAGGAUCCUCAUCGUUUACUGUGAAAAAAUUAGAGUGUUCAAAGCAGGCUUAUGCCGUUGAAUAUAUUAGCAUGGAAUAAUAAGAUAGGACUUUGGUACUAUUUUGUUGGUUUGCGCACCAAAGUAAUGAUUAAUAGGGACAGUUGGGGGUAUUCGUAUUCCGUUGUCAGAGGUGAAAUUCUUGGAUUUACGGAAGACGAACUACUGCGAAAGCAUUUACCAAGGAUGUUUUCAUUAA
Molecule: ribosomal RNA, 383 nt
Filed under: uncultured eukaryote
Lineage: Eukaryota
Description: partial 18S ribosomal RNA
Rfam family: Eukaryotic small subunit ribosomal RNA
Source: RNAcentral